UACGUAGGGUGCGAGCGUUAAUCGGAAUUACUGGGCGUAAAGUGUGCGCAGGCGGCUUUGCAAGACAGAUGUGAAAUCCCCGGGCUUAACCUGGGAACUGCAUUUGUGACUGCAUGGCUAGAGUGCGGCAGAGGGGGAUGGAAUUCCGCGUGUAGCAGUGAAAUGCGUAGAUAUGCGGAGGAACACCGAUGGCGAAGGCAAUCCCCUGGGCCUGCACUGACGCUCAUGCACGAAAGCGUGGGGAGCAAACAGG
This 253-nucleotide ribosomal RNA is filed under the name uncultured bacterium. Its description in RNAcentral is "partial 16S ribosomal RNA". It matches the Rfam family "Bacterial small subunit ribosomal RNA", at positions 524 to 776 of the family's 1533-position model. The record is from RNAcentral.